GACGAACGCUGGCGGCGUGCCUAAUACAUGCAAGUAGAACGCUGAAGGAGGAGCUUGCUUCUCCGGAUGAGUUGCGAACGGGUGAGUAACGCGUAGGUAACCUGCCUGGUAGCGGGGGAUAACUAUUGGAAACGAUAGCUAAUACCGCAUAACAGUAGAUAUUGCAUGAUAUCUGCUUGAAAGGUGCGAUUGCAUCACUACCAGAUGGACCUGCGUUGUAUUAGCUAGUUGGUGAGGUAACGGCUCACCAAGGCGACGAUACAUAGCCGACCUGAGAGGGUGAUCGGCCACACUGGGACUGAGACACGGCCCAGACUCCUACGGGAGGCAGCAGUAGGGAAUCUUCGGCAAUGGACGGAAGUCUGACCGAGCAACGCCGCGUGAGUGAAGAAGGUUUUCGGAUCGUAAAGCUCUGUUGUAAGAGAAGAACGAGUGUGAGAGUGGAAAGUUCACACUGUGACGGUAUCUUACCAGAAAGGGACGGCUAACUACGUG
This 495-nucleotide ribosomal RNA is filed under the name uncultured bacterium. RNAcentral describes it as "partial 16S ribosomal RNA". It matches the Rfam family "Bacterial small subunit ribosomal RNA", at positions 28 to 507 of the family's 1533-position model. The record is from RNAcentral.